GACACGACCGUACCGCAAACCGACACUGGUGCGCGAGAUGAGUAUUCUAAGGCGCUUGAGAGAACUCAGGAGAAGGAACUCGGCAAAUUGACACCGUAACUUCGGAAGAAGGUGUGCCUUUAGUAGGUGAAGUCCCUCGCGGAUGGAGCCCAAUGAGGUUGCAAAGAAUCGGUGGCUGCGACUGUUUAUUAAAAACACAGCACUCUGCAAACACGAAAGUGGACGUAUAGGGUGUGACGCCUGCCCGGUGCUGGAAGAUUAAAUGAUGGGGUGCAAGCUCUUGAUUGAAGUCCCAGUAAACGGCGGCCGUAACGAUAACGGUCCUAAGGUAGCGAAAUUCCUUGUCGGGUAAGUUCCGACCUGCACGAAUGGCGUAACGAUGGCCACACUGUCUCCUCCUGAGACUCAGCGAAGUUGAAAUGUUUGUGAUGAUGCAAUCUCCCCGCGGAAAGACGGAAAGACCCCAUGAACCUUUACUGUAGCUUUGUAUUGGACUUUGAACAGAUCUGUGUAGGAUAGGUGGGAGGCUUUGAAGCAGGGUCGCUAGAUCUUGUGGAGCCAACGUUGAAAUACCACCCUGGUGUGUUUGAGGUUCUAACCUAGGCCCGUAAUCCGGGUUGGGGACAGUGCAUGGUAGGCAGUUUGACUGGGGCGGUCUCCUCCCAAAGUGUAACGGAGGAGUUCGAAGGUACGCUAGUUACGGUCGGACAUCGUGACGAUAGUGCAAUGGCAUAAGCGUGCUUAACUGCGAGACUGACAAGUCGAGCAGAUGCGAAAGCAGGACAUAGUGAUCCGGUGGUUCUGUAUGGAAGGGCCAUCGCUCAACGGAUAAAAGGUACUCUGGGGAUAACAGGCUGAUACCGCCCAAGAGUUCAUAUCGACGGCGGUGUUGGGCACCUCGAUGUCGGCUCAUCUCAUCCUGGGGCUGUAGCCGGUCCCAAGGGUAUGGCUGUUCGCCAUUUAAAGAGGUACGUGAGCUGGGUUUAAAACGUCGUGAGACAGUUUGGUCCCUAUCUUCCGUGGGCGCUGCAGAUUUGAGGAAGCCUGCUCCUAGUACGAGAGGACCGGAGUGGACGCACCUCUGGUGUAUCGGUUGUCACGCCAGUGGCAUUGCCGAGUAGCUAUGUGCGGAAGAGAUAACCGCUGAAAGCAUCUAAGCGGGAAACUCGUUUCAAGAUGAGAUCUGCCGGGGCCUUGAGCCCCCUGAAGAGUCGUUCAAGACCAGGACGUUGAUAGGUCGGGUGUGGAAGCGCAGUAAUGCGUUAAGCUAACCGAUACUAAUUGCUCGUGCGGCUUGACCCU
Molecule: ribosomal RNA, 1302 nt
Filed under: metagenome
Description: bacterial LSU rRNA
Rfam family: Bacterial large subunit ribosomal RNA
Source: RNAcentral